This 427-nucleotide ribosomal RNA is filed under the name uncultured cyanobacterium. Its description in RNAcentral is "bacterial SSU rRNA". It matches the Rfam family "Bacterial small subunit ribosomal RNA", at positions 356 to 795 of the family's 1533-position model. The record is from RNAcentral. Lineage: Bacteria; Bacillati; Cyanobacteriota.
GGGGAAUUUUCCGCAAUGGGCGAAACGCCUGACGGAGCAAGACCGCGGGGGGGAGGAAGGUUCUUGGAUUGUCAACCCCUUCUCUCAGGGGAAGAAGAAAGUGACGGUACCUGAGGAAGAAGCAUCGGCUAACUCCGUGCCAGCAGCCGCGGUAAUACGGGGGAUGCAAGCGUUAUCCGGAACGAUUGGGCGUAAAGAGUCCGUAGGUGGCUCAUCAAGUCUGCUGUUAAAGAGCGANGCUUAACUUCGUAAAAGCAGUGGAAACUGAAGAGCUAGAGUAUAGUAGGGGCANAGGGAAUUCCUGGUGUAGCGGUGAAAUGCGUAGAGAUCAGGAAGAACACCGGUGGCGAAAGCGCUCUGCUGGGCUAAAACUGACACUGAGGGACGAAAGCUAGGGGAGCGAAUGGGAUUAGAUACCCCAGUAGUC